UACGUAGGUGGCAAGCGUUGUCCGGAAUUAUUGGGCGUAAAGCGCGCGCAGGCGGUCCUUUAAGUCUGAUGUGAAAGCCCACGGCUCAACCGUGGAGGGUCAUUGGAAACUGAGGGACUUGAGUGCAGAAGAGGAAAGCGGAAUUCCACGUGUAGCGGUGAAAUGCGUAGAGAUGUGGAGGAACACCAGUGGCGAAGGCGGCGUUUCUGGUCUGUAAACUGACGCUGAGGCGCGAAAGCGUGGGGAGCAACAGG
Molecule: ribosomal RNA, 254 nt
Filed under: uncultured bacterium
Lineage: Bacteria
Description: partial 16S ribosomal RNA
Rfam family: Bacterial small subunit ribosomal RNA
Source: RNAcentral